AUGAGAGACCCUCAGAUAUUUCAGUGCUUAAGAAAACUCACCAUUUCCAACUGGACAAGGUGUAAGAAUAUACCUGUAGUAUGGCUCUCACCCUCACUGGAGUUCUUAUACUUGCGUAACAUGGGUAAAGUGAAGACAUUGUGUGAUAACCUUUGCAUAGAAGGUGGAGGACGCAGUACCCCUCUACAAAUUUUCCCAAAGUUGAAGGAGAUGGUCUUGGUAGAGCUAUGUAGUCUAGAGGGAUGGGCAGAAAACAGUGCGGGGGUGGCCAUUGAUAGCUCAGUAAUAUUCCCGGUGCUUGAGAAGCUAGUAAUCGACAGAUGCCCGAAGCUUGCAAGUUUUCCACUGAGCCCUGUUCUCAAAGACCUGAAGUUAGAAGGAUCUUACUUGGGAGUGGAGUGUGUGUGGGAUAUUCCAAGGUUGCCUACAUCCCUUGAAAUUUUGUGGAUUCAAUGCUUCGGAGGUUUGGUGGUGCUGUCUUUGAACCUUGGAGAUCUGGCAAAGCUGAGGGAGCUACUGGUGCAUAAAUGCAGGAGCCUGAAAGGGUUGCCUGAUGGGAUGGAUGGCCUCACUUCUCUUAGGAAAUUGGCAAUCACUCGUUGUCCAGGGAUAGAGGAAUUCCCGAAUGGUCUCCUUCAGCGGUUGUCAGCCCUUGACUCCUUAACCAUAUUUGGCUGCCCCGAGUUGGAAAGACGAUGCAGAGAAGGCGGGGAGUAUUUCCAGCACUUGUCUCCUAUCCCAUGUAAAAGAGGAUUCAGAACUGGAGCUCCAGAAGUAGAAGCAGAAUCCACAAUUAUAGCACCAGAAGCAGAAACCAGCGGAAAGAAGUUUCUAAGAAGGCUCCUACCCUCCUGUGCUCACUCGAAGUCUGGUGAUAACUGA
This 882-nucleotide ribosomal RNA is filed under the name Triticum aestivum (bread wheat). RNAcentral describes it as "partial small subunit ribosomal RNA". Lineage: Eukaryota; Viridiplantae; Streptophyta; Magnoliopsida; Poales; Poaceae. The record is from RNAcentral.